This is a long non-coding RNA of Hippocampus comes (tiger tail seahorse), 362 nucleotides long. RefSeq lists it as uncharacterized. NCBI's taxonomy places the organism in Eukaryota, Metazoa, Chordata, Actinopteri, Syngnathiformes, Syngnathidae. The record is from RefSeq and is a predicted model, not a curated record. The transcript has 4 exons.
AAGGUGUGAAGGGAGGCAGUUUGAGGACAGAGUAUCCGUGAAGACCUGAGAGCACCGGAGCUUCUUCCCGACGUUCUCUUCGGAGCUGGACAGAGAGCGAGAGCUGAUGUAAGGAGAGGUGGAUGGCUGAGAGUCUGUAGGCACGUCUGAAAGAAGACACAAAAAAGGAAUCUCAUCCAUACGGAGGAACACGGUGUCAUUGGGACUCCGCUGGCCAUCAGAUUUGCUGCCUGUGUGAAGAAAGGUGCCAGUCAACGGUAGCCUUGAAGGUGUUGCGAAAUCCCGCGUGGGGAUGGAGCUGAGCUAGCCGAGCCAGUCCCAGGCGGGUGUGGGCGCUGGUGAGGGGGAGGGCGAUGCUGUGA